GCUUGUCUCAAAGAUUAAGCCAUGCAUGUCUAAGUAUAAGUAUUAUACAGCGAAACUGCGAAUGGCUCAUUAAAACAGUUAUGGUUUAUUUGAUAAUCGAAUUUUACAUGGAUAACCGUGGUAAUUCUAGAGCUAAUACAUGCUGGUGUGCCUGACUUUUCGGAAGGGCGGUAUUUAUUAGAUAAAAAUCAACUUUGUUGGUGAAUCAUAAUAACUUCUCGGACCGCAUGGCCUCGUGCUGGCGGUGCUUCAUUCAAAUAUCUGCCCUAUCAACUGUCGAUGGUAGGAUAGAGGCCUACCAUGGUUGCAACGGGUAACGGGGAAUAAGGGUUCGAUUCCGGAGAGGGAGCCUGAGAAACGGCUACCACAUCCAAGGAAGGCAGCAGG
RNAcentral lists this ribosomal RNA (387 nucleotides) under uncultured Exobasidiomycetes. Its description in RNAcentral is "partial small subunit ribosomal RNA". It matches the Rfam family "Eukaryotic small subunit ribosomal RNA", at positions 30 to 432 of the family's 1831-position model. The record is from RNAcentral. Lineage: Eukaryota; Fungi; Basidiomycota; Exobasidiomycetes.